RNAcentral lists this ribosomal RNA (162 nucleotides) under Megasphaera elsdenii. RNAcentral describes it as "16S rRNA. Bacterial SSU". It matches the Rfam family "Bacterial small subunit ribosomal RNA", at positions 19 to 171 of the family's 1533-position model. Lineage: Bacteria; Bacillati; Bacillota; Negativicutes; Veillonellales; Veillonellaceae. The record is from RNAcentral.
CUGGCUCAGGACGAACGCUGGCGGCGUGCUUAACACAUGCAAGUCGAACGAGAAGAGAUGAGAAGCUUGCUUCUUAUCGAUUCGAGUGGCAAACGGGUGAGUAACGCGUAAGCAACCUGCCCUUCAGAUGGGGACAACAGCUGGAAACGGCUGCUAAUACCG